This 676-nucleotide ribosomal RNA is filed under the name uncultured bacterium. RNAcentral describes it as "bacterial SSU rRNA". It matches the Rfam family "Bacterial small subunit ribosomal RNA", at positions 8 to 694 of the family's 1533-position model. The record is from RNAcentral.
AGAGUUUGAUCCUGGCUCAGGACGAACGCUGGCGGUGUGCUUCACACAUGCAAGUCGAGCGAAUGAAGUAGGUAGCUUGCUACUUAUGGAUUUAGCGGCGGACGGGUGAGUAAUAUAUAGGAAUCUGCCUUAGAGCGGGGAACAACAGACCGAAAGGUUUGCUAAUGCCCCAUAGGUAUGCAGUCUUCGGAUUGUAUAUUAAAGGAGUAAUCCACUCUAAGAUGAGCCUGUAUCCGAUUAGCUAGUUGGCGGGGUAAAGGCCCACCAAGGCUACGAUCGGUAGUUGGUCUGAGAGGAUGAUCAGCCACAAUGGGACUGAGACACGGCCCAUACUCCUACGGGAGGCAGCAGUGGGUAAUUUUACACAAUGGGGGAAACCCUGAUGUAGCGACACCGCGUGAACGAGGAAGCCUUUUGGGGUGUAAAGUUCUGUCGGCUGGAACGAAAAAAAUGACGGUACCAGCAAAGGAAGCAUCGGCUAACUACGUGCCAGCAGCCGCGGUAAGACGUAGGAUGCAAGCGUUGUCCGGAUUUAUUGGGCGUAAAGAGUUCGUAGGCGGUUAUUUAAGUCUGAUGUUAAAUACUGUGGCCCAACCACAGAACUGCAUUGGAUACUGGAUGACUUGAGUGCGGUAGAGGCAAGUGGAAUUCCCAGUGUAGCGGUGAAAUGCGUAGA